AUGGUCCAUAUUUACAUGAAGUAUGUUCUGUUUCAAAAAAAGCAUUCGAAUUUAGAAAAUUGGGGUAUAUGGAGUGAUUUGUGUGACCUAACCUUUAGCACCAGGCCUGGUCAUCAGAAGUUGCCUAAGCAGUUUUGUACAGUGACAAUAUAUAGCCUGAAGUGCCAGUCAUUGUGUUAUGUUUUCGGCGGUGGAACCAAGGUCACUGUCCUAGGUCAGCCCAAGUCCACUCCCACACUCACAGUGUUUCCACCUUCCCCUGAGGAGCUCAAGGAAAACAAAGCCACACUCGUGUGCCUGAUUUCCAAUUUUUCCCCGAGUGGUGUGACAGUGGCCUGGAAGGCAAAUGGUACACCUAUCACCCAGGGUGUGGACACUUCAAAUCCCACCAAAGAGGGCAACAAGUUCAUGGCCAGCAGCUUCCUACAUUUGACAUCGGACCAGUGGAGAUCUCACAACAGUUUUACCUGUCAAGUUACACAUGAAGGGGACACUGUGGAGAAGAGUCUGUCUCCUGCAGAAUGUCUCUAAGAACCCAGGUUUCUUCUUAGCCUGGGAACCCUGCAGCUGUAGGACCCAGAGUGGGGUCUCUUCUUUAUAUUAGCUAUCUUAACCCUUAUU
Mus caroli (Ryukyu mouse) is the source of this 621-nucleotide non-coding RNA. The record is from the annotation of a RefSeq genome assembly. NCBI's taxonomy places the organism in Eukaryota, Metazoa, Chordata, Mammalia, Rodentia, Muridae.